RNAcentral lists this ribosomal RNA (468 nucleotides) under uncultured bacterium. RNAcentral describes it as "partial 16S ribosomal RNA". It matches the Rfam family "Bacterial small subunit ribosomal RNA", at positions 28 to 507 of the family's 1533-position model. The record is from RNAcentral.
GACGAACGCUGGCGGCGUGCUUAACACAUGCAAGUCGAACGGAAAGGCCCUGCUCUUGUGGGGUGCUCGAGUGGCGCACGGGUGAGUAACACGUGAGUAUCCUGCCCUUGACUUUGGGAUAACUUCAGGAAACUGGGGCUAAUACCGGAUAGGAGCUCCUGCUGCAUGGUGGGGGUUGGAGAGUUUCGGCGGUUGGGGAUGGACUCGCGGGUUAUCAGCUUGUUGGUGGGGUAGUGGCUUACCAAGGCUUCGACGGGUAGCCGGCCUGGGAGGGUGGCCGGCCACAUUGGGACUGAGAGACGGCCCAGACGCCUACGUGAGGCAGCAGGGGGAAAUAUUACACAAUGGGCGGAAGCCUGAUGCAGCAGCGCCGCGUGCGUGAUGACGGCCUUCGGGGUGUAAACCGCUGUCGCCUGUGACGAAGCGUGAGUGACGGUAAUGAGUAAAGAAGCACCGGCUAACUACGUG